This is a non-coding RNA of Gossypium raimondii (Peruvian cotton), 107 nucleotides long. Lineage: Eukaryota; Viridiplantae; Streptophyta; Magnoliopsida; Malvales; Malvaceae. The record is from Rfam.
AAUCCAUGCAUCGGACAUUUCUAAAGCAAUUUAUUAAAUCUUUCCCAAGCUUCAUACAAUGUCUCAUCAUCUGAUUGUCGAAAAUAUGUGAUGUCAUUUCUAAGCUU